This 1379-nucleotide ribosomal RNA is filed under the name Moraxellaceae bacterium CH22. Its description in RNAcentral is "bacterial SSU rRNA". It matches the Rfam family "Bacterial small subunit ribosomal RNA", at positions 71 to 1442 of the family's 1533-position model. Lineage: Bacteria; Pseudomonadati; Pseudomonadota; Gammaproteobacteria; Moraxellales; Moraxellaceae. The record is from RNAcentral.
AGAGUAGUCAUUGCUACUUUACCUAGCGGCGGACGGGUGAGUAAUGCUUAGGAAUCUGCCUAUUAGUGGGGGACAACAUUCCGAAAGGGAUGCUAAUACCGCAUACGUCCUACGGGAGAAAGCAGGGGACCUUCGGGCCUUGCGCUAAUAGAUGAGCCUAAGUCGGAUUAGCUAGUUGGUGGGGUAAAGGCCUACCAAGGCGACGAUCUGUAGCGGGUCUGAGAGGAUGAUCCGCCACACUGGGACUGAGACACGGCCCAGACUCCUACGGGAGGCAGCAGUGGGGAAUAUUGGACAAUGGGGGGAACCCUGAUCCAGCCAUGCCGCGUGUGUGAAGAAGGCCUUAUGGUUGUAAAGCACUUUAAGCGAGGAGGAGGCUACCUAGAUUAAUACUCUAGGAUAGUGGACGUUACUCGCAGAAUAAGCACCGGCUAACUCUGUGCCAGCAGCCGCGGUAAUACAGAGGGUGCGAGCGUUAAUCGGAUUUACUGGGCGUAAAGCGUGCGUAGGUGGCUAAUUAAGUCAAAUGUGAAAUCCCCGAGCUUAACUUGGGAAUUGCAUUCGAUACUGGUUAGCUAGAGUAUGGGAGAGGAUGGUAGAAUUCCAGGUGUAGCGGUGAAAUGCGUAGAGAUCUGGAGGAAUACCGAUGGCGAAGGCAGCCAUCUGGGCUAAUACUGACGCUGAGGAGCGAAAGCAUGGGGAGCGAACAGGAUUAGAUACCCUGGUAGUCCAUGCCGUAAACGAUGGGCACUAGGCGUGGGGGUCAUUUGACGAUUUUAGCGCCGCAGCUAACGCAUUAAGUACCCCGCCUGGGGAGUACGGCCGCAAGGCUAAAACUCAAAGGAAUUGACGGGGGCCCGCACAAGCGGCGGAGCAUGCGGAUUAAUUCGAUGCAACGCGAAGAACCUUACCAAGGCUUGACAUGAACCGGAAAGACCUGGAAACAGGUGCCCCGCUUGCGGUCGGUUUACAGGUGGUGCAUGGUUGUCGUCAGCUCGUGUCGUGAGAUGUUGGGUUAAGUCCCGCAACGAGCGCAACCCUCGUUCUAUGUUGCCAGCGCGUUAUGGCGGGGACUCAUAGGAGACUGCCGGGGUCAACUCGGAGGAAGGUGGGGACGACGUCAAAUCAUCAUGCCCCUUAUGUCUUGGGCUUCACGCAUGCUACAAUGGCCGGUACAAAGGGUUGCGAUACUGUGAGGUGGAGCUAAUCCCAAAAAGCCGGUCUCAGUUCGGAUUGGGGUCUGCAACUCGACCCCAUGAAGUCGGAGUCGCUAGUAAUCGCAGAUCAGCAACGCUGCGGUGAAUACGUUCCCGGGCCUUGUACACACCGCCCGUCAAGUCACGAAAGUUGGUAACACCCGAAGCCGGUGGCCUAACCCU